GCUUACGGCCAUACCACGUUAAAGGCACGCAAUCCCCUCCGAUCUGGCAAGUUAAGCAACGUUGGCCCUAGUUAGUACUUGGAUCGGAGACGGCUUGGGAAUCCCAGGUGUCGUAAGCU
This 119-nucleotide ribosomal RNA is filed under the name Angiostrongylus costaricensis. Lineage: Eukaryota; Metazoa; Nematoda; Chromadorea; Rhabditida; Metastrongylidae. The record is from RNAcentral.